GGAAAUUAAAGGAUAAUAAUAUAGAUAACCUUGGCUACUUUUCAUCAUGAUUAUAAAAUGAUGAAUCGGCGGUCGUGGUCUCUAUGGAAUACAUAUCUUUAAAAAUGCUAACAGUAACAUAUUCUCAAGUAAUUCACAUUGUACAUGACAUACGGCAGUAUUUUGACCACAAACCAUUAACACAACCACGCGGACGAAGUCGCGGGCAAAAACUAGAUGUUUUCAAUAUUUGUACAUGUCAAAUAUUUGUUGUCCAUCCUGUCAAAUACUGUAAAUAAUGAUUGACAUUUAUGCAUAAACUAUUUGAAAAGGGUGAAUAAACAAUUGUCUGUAUUUUUUUAAAUCUAUUGAAAAUGUUAAAAAAAAUGCAUUAAGCAUUAAUAGAAAUUCGUCAAAAAUUUAUUUUGUGUAAAUUAAAGUUUCUAUUUACGUUUUCGAACAAACGAUGCUCUUUCAAUAUAAUCUAUUGGUGUGAAUGACAUUGACAUUCGUAUUGCGCGUUUUUUUAAAUAAUAUGCAAAAUUAAAUGUAUAUUUUUCAAUAUUUCUGAGAGAUUUUCUUAAUAUUUUUUCGAGUUUUAAAGACUAAGAAGAUUUUUUUUUUUUGCUAAUAAGUGUUUAUUAAUCAAGUUGGAAUUUCGUUUUUAACAAUGCUACCAACCAGACGUACAAGCUUAGGCCGCAGAACUCGAAAUACGGCAAGUCAAAGAAAUAUAAGAGCAAAUCAAACUGAUGAGCAACGCUAAGCGCGAAAUGAACUUGAACUGAAUCGAUAUCAAAAAAAUAGAAAUGUUGUGUUUAAUCCCCACAGAGCUGCAUUCAAUUAUAAUAUUGUAUUUCUUUUUUCUUUGUUGUAAAUUUUCAACAUUUUAACUGUAUAAUGUAUUGGCUUUUUUUUUUUAGGGUGGAAAAUCAUCCAAUGACUUCUCCCGCCUUGGGCGAGGCGAGAGGGAGUGUCAGACUCUUACUGACUAAAAACCACCCCGUUCCUAUUCCUGCCCGUCGAGCCGGAGCCCCGGUAAACCCGCUAGGUAGUCCGCAGCUCCGGAUUAGGUAUCAGCCCUACUGGGCCCCAUCUGUGGUGGUCUGAUGGCUCUUUGAGGCGCGCGCAGAACGCGACGCGCCG
Molecule: long non-coding RNA, 1125 nt
Organism: Spodoptera frugiperda (fall armyworm)
Lineage: Eukaryota; Metazoa; Arthropoda; Insecta; Lepidoptera; Noctuidae
Exons: 2
Source: RefSeq, a predicted model, not a curated record